This is a long non-coding RNA of Cyprinodon variegatus (sheepshead minnow), 1526 nucleotides long. RefSeq lists it as uncharacterized. The transcript has 3 exons. The record is from RefSeq and is a predicted model, not a curated record. Lineage: Eukaryota; Metazoa; Chordata; Actinopteri; Cyprinodontiformes; Cyprinodontidae.
UGCAAAUCAAGUUCUGAUUAUGAAAGUCUGCAAUUAAAAAAGGGCAUCAACGAGGAGACUAUAAUUUUUACUAAACACAGAGACACGGGAAAGGAAACUAUUAAUACAGAAAUGAUACAUAGAGUUCAAACACAUGGAAAAUCCCUAAAUGUGGAUAUUCUCAUCAAAGACUUGAAUGAAAAUGACACGGAUGUAUACUGGUGUAUGUAUACUAAACUAAGUGCUACUUAUACAGAAGUUACCGAAAAAGGACAGGGAUCCAUACUGCUGGUUGUUGCUGGGAGUAAGCCACAUAAGGAAGAUGUACGUGGACAACCGAAUCUAAACAUGACCGUGGUAUAUAUUGUCAUCGCUGUUGGCGUCCUGCUUAUCAUCAUGCUGGUAGUCAUCUGUAGGACCAUGCAAAAGACCAAGACCUCAUUAAACACAGUGAAACCACGGCGCAUUGAAAAUACCAAUGAUGUUUAUGAGGACAUGCGAGGAACGAUCAGGCGCUAAUGAUGCAAGACUGCAGGACAAUGCCAUGCAUGAAACUCUUUAAACCAUAAACCACUGAAGCAAAAGGGAUGCAUGUUAUGCAACAUGUCAGUUCCUACACCUCUUCAAGAAAUUCUCCCCCUGAAAAACUUAUAAACUGUUUGUUUAUAAGAGUGGGUCAGAAAGAAAUCAAGAAGAGACAGUGACAGUGAAUUGGUGUUUGUAUUUUUGUAAAUAUUGUAUUGUUAAAUUUAUCAUGUGUAGAAUAGAAUAAAUAAAAGUUAUAUAGUUUGUUUUUUUUUUUUUUUUUUUUGUUAUUUGAAUUUUGUAUAAACAUUGAAAAUCACUUAAAACUGAAGGCAAAUUGUUUAAGAGUUUUAAACAAUCCCAUAUCCUUUCCUGUUCCCAGAUUUCUGAGAUGUCUUUGGUAAUCAUUCUAUAAAAAAGCAUCUAAGUCAGAAGUCUUCCAAAACAUUUUCAAAGCUUACAAAUAUUUUGAAAAUAUCUUUUUUAGAAUUUUACAUCACUGUUAUUGAUUUUGAGAUGUAACGUACCACCAAACCAUGAUGCCUCCAAUGCCAUGUAAUUCAGCUGGACAGAGAUUUGAUGAUUUGUGAGCUAAAUUUCUCAAUUCACUCAGUUUUUAAAAGUUUUUUUUUUAUUUGAGAAGGUUUGCAAAGAUAGACUUUAAUAUGAAUCACCUUUAAGUAAAUGCCAAUGUAUUUGGUUUCACGUUCAACUUAGAACCUCUACGUGCAAAAUAGUUUUGGGUCAGGAAAUCUCUAUUAUUAUGCACCAAUAUGAUCAUUAGGAAAAGCUGGUUUACAAACACCACUUAAAAACUGAGUUUCUCCAGAUAUCAAACUCCAAGUAUAUUUUAAGAUGGUGUUUGCAUUUACUUCCAGCUUAACAUGGUAAUACUAACCUUAUUGUAUGAAGGAGUCGACAGUGCAAUGGUCUGUGUUUAUUUUCGAUUAGAAAACUAUGUAUAUAAAUACUAUGUAUACAUUUUGGAUACUGCGUUAAAGUUAAUUGUAAAAAUAAAUUGU